Long non-coding RNA from Felis catus (domestic cat), 1823 nucleotides. RefSeq lists it as uncharacterized. The transcript has 4 exons. NCBI's taxonomy places the organism in Eukaryota, Metazoa, Chordata, Mammalia, Carnivora, Felidae. The record is from RefSeq and is a predicted model, not a curated record.
CUCUUCCGAUCUAUGAGAGACCCCUGGUCUAGCUUACUAAAACACCCCCACCCUACCUUCAACUUUGUAAACGCCUCACUCGCAGAGCCUGUACUCCCACUAGUUAACAAACAGGAUUUCUGCGGUUGGACAUCUGGACCCCGGGGGAGCUGUACAGGUUGCUACAUAGAUAACCGCUUUCCUCUCGCUUCUGUAAUCUUGCUUACGCGCCCAACCAUAGUAAUCUUGCUUACGCGCCCAACCCUAACCGGAAGGUCCCUAGCCGCUUCGCAGCCCGGGCUCCAAGUUGCAUCAGCCAAAAGAAACUUCAUUUCCCAAGCUUCCCCGGGACGAAACUACCCACAACCCUAACCAUCACCGAGCAGAGAGCCUACCACCAGCCUGUAUGCAAAUAAGACUCAAAAUAGCAUAAAAGACCUGUGACCCCGUUUAUCGGGGCUCUCCCGCUUUCUAACACUGGGGAGCCCUGGUGCACCAGUAAAGACUCUCUGCCGACGUCGGAGUGCCGUGUGGUUCUUUGCGCCAACUCUCAUUUCAUAGGGCCUAGGAGCUUGGCUCCUAACAUCACAACGCAGAAAACCCAGUGGGUCCUGAGUCCACUGCGGGAAAUCCCCGCUGCCAAUGGCCACUGCGACGGGUUGAGCCACCAGGCUGGCGAAAGGCUGCUCGACUCCCUUCCCUUCCUGGGAGGCCAUGUCCAACGGCAGUGACAGAGACGCCAGGAAGUGGAGAACAGAAAAGAAUCUGAUUUAAAUGAAAUCGACUUAGAUCGCAAUUCACGUCCCUUCGACAAGUUGUGCUUAGCUGUGAUCCGUCAAGCGGGGGAAAACGUACGUGUGCUGUGGGAUGUCACCUGGGUACCCAUCUUUCGUAAUUCCAUGGAAGUCAGUUUCAAGUUUUGGGAGGAUGCUCUGGAUCCAUGUUAAAAGACAGACGGAUCUGGGUAUGUUUGGUUACAUCGGAAAACCAGAUGGUCAUUUAGUUGUACUGUUUUGUUCUCAAGAAUACUUGAGGCAUGGUCUUGGGUCCCAGAGGUACCACUGUACCUUCAGCCCCUGGAGGGGUCCUAGACGCUGAAGGAAUUCAAGGCAGAAAUGUGCCUUUAAACGUUCGUGCCUUUAAAUGUGCGUUUAAAAGGGCCUUGGUCAAAUACGAGGCAGAACCUAGCCUGGUCCUACUGUGAGGGCAGAAAUAAGGCAAAUGAGUGAACAGGGCAAAAAAGUAGUUUUGGCCUCAACUCGUGGGCUGAACGUAUAAAAUGACUUGCACUUGGCCAUUUUGGCAAUUCCACGUGGUUCCACUUCAUAAAACAGAACCGUCUAAUACCCAGAAAUGCCCGACUAUAGAAUGGAAUGCUAAGAGAGAUAGUGAGCUCCCCAUCACGGCAUGGAUUUUAGUAGAGGUUUGAGAUCAGGGGCAUUGUAGAGACGAUUCCUGAAUCGGGGGGGGAAAUCGUCUCCCAACUGUGGAAACUGAUUCAUCCUAACGAUGGUUUCCACGUCGUUGAUUCUCAAAAUAUUUGAAUGCAAGUCCUUUUCGUUACUGAGAAGUCCUCGUGAAACAGAUAAAAGGCAGUUAAAACCAAAAUGAGGCUUAAAUAAUAUUUUCAACGUACCCAUUUUUAUUCGUCCCGCCAGUACACACAGGAAAUUCACUCUGCUCUGUACUGGCUGAAAACGUCGACCUCAGGAGCACAGGCAUCGUGGAAAGCGCUGAGGAUCCAGGACCCCAAGUCCCUGGGUCCACACAACCCUGGGGUGCCACUCCCUACCCAAACGGCUUAAAGCAAGACCCUAAUUAAACCUCACUCUCCUAACCUGCAA